UGGUAAAAGCUUAGUAGUUCUUAGUUGUGCUGUCAAAAAACAGUGAUGCCCUGACACGACGUCAGGGCAAGCCACCAGCGACACGACGUCGCAUUGGUGGCGUUCACGUCCGACUUUACAUAUCCUAACCACAGCACAUCUUAGAACUACUUAGC
This 155-nucleotide non-coding RNA is filed under the name uncultured Lachnospira sp. The record is from RNAcentral. Lineage: Bacteria; Bacillati; Bacillota; Clostridia; Lachnospirales; Lachnospiraceae.